RNAcentral lists this non-coding RNA (20 nucleotides) under Arabidopsis thaliana (thale cress). Lineage: Eukaryota; Viridiplantae; Streptophyta; Magnoliopsida; Brassicales; Brassicaceae. The record is from RNAcentral.
UCUGGGCACCAAUCAUACAC